Molecule: non-coding RNA, 329 nt
Organism: Pogona vitticeps (central bearded dragon)
Lineage: Eukaryota; Metazoa; Chordata; Lepidosauria; Squamata; Agamidae
Source: RefSeq, a predicted model, not a curated record
ACCUUCCUUUCUUCAUUCCUCUCUCUCAGCAAGAACCUGUGGAUUUAGUGGAUCCUUCAAGUGUAAACGGCAUGGCGGUAAAUGUGUAGUGCCCAGUGACUGUACAGGCCUUAUGAGGAAGACUGGGGAAUGUGAAAGUAACAUCAUUUGCUGCAAAAGUUUAUUUGCCAAUUGAGCUGGGAAUGGAGUCUCGUCAGCAAUCGCUUUUUCAUAUAGAAACUUAUCCAACUCCACUUGCCUUCCAAUGGAAUCUUGCUGGCAGGGGAUCCAAACUUAACAUCGUCUAUAACAAAGCAAUUCUCCCUUUGAAUAAACUGUUACUUACAGCA